CCUACGGGUGGCAGCAGUCGAGAAUCAUUCACAAUGGGGGAAACCCUGAUGGUGCGACGCAGCGUGGGGGAAUGAAGGUCUUCGGAUUGUAAACCCCUGUCAUGUGGGAGCAAAUUAAAAAGAUAGUACCACAAGAGGAAGAGACGGCUAACUCUGUGCCAGCAGCCGCGGUAAUACAGAGGUCUCAAGCGUUGUUCGGAAUCACUGGGCGUAAAGCGUGCGUAGGCUGUUUCGUAAGUCGUGUGUGAAAGGCCCGGGCUCAACCCGCGGACGGCAGAUGAUACUGCGAGACUAGAGUAAUGGAGAGGGAACCGGAAUUCGCGGUGUAGCAGUGAAAUGCGUAGAUAUCGAGAGGAACACUCGUGGCGAAGGCGGGUUCCUGGACAUUAACUGACGCUGAGGCACGAAGGCCAGGGGAGCGAAAGGGAUUAGAUACCCUUGUAGUC
Molecule: ribosomal RNA, 446 nt
Filed under: uncultured bacterium
Lineage: Bacteria
Description: partial 16S ribosomal RNA
Rfam family: Bacterial small subunit ribosomal RNA
Source: RNAcentral